AUUGAACGCUGGCGGCAGGCCUAACACAUGCAAGUCGAGCGGCAGCGGAAAGUAGCUUGCUACUUUGCCGGCGAGCGGCGGACGGGUGAGUAAUGUCUGGGAAACUGCCUGAUGGAGGGGGAUAACUACUGGAAACGGUAGCUAAUACCGCAUGACCUCGCAAGAGCAAAGUGGGGGACCUUCGGGCCUCACGCCAUCGGAUGUGCCCAGAUGGGAUUAGCUAGUAGGUGAGGUAAUGGCUCACCUAGGCGACGAUCCCUAGCUGGUCUGAGAGGAUGACCAGCCACACUGGAACUGAGACACGGUCCAGACUCCUACGGGAGGCAGCAGUGGGGAAUAUUGCACAAUGGGCGCAAGCCUGAUGCAGCCAUGCCGCGUGUGUGAAGAAGGCCUUCGGGUUGUAAAGCACUUUCAGCGAGGAGGAAGGGUUCAGUGUUAAUAGCACUGUUCAUUGACGUUACUCGCAGAAGAAGCACCGGCUAACUCCGUGCCAGCAGCCGCGGUAAUACGGAGGGUGCAAGCGUUAAUCGGAAUUACUGGGCGUAAAGCGCACGCAGGCGGUUUGUUAAGUCAGAUGUGAAAUCCCCGAGCUUAACUUGGGAACUGCAUUUGAAACUGGCAAGCUAGAGUCUUGUAGAGGGGGGUAGAAUUCCAGGUGUAGCGGUGAAAUGCGUAGAGAUCUGGAGGAAUACCGGUGGCGAAGGCGGCCCCCUGGACAAAGACUGACGCUCAGGUGCGAAAGCGUGGGGAGCAAACAGG
RNAcentral lists this ribosomal RNA (759 nucleotides) under uncultured Enterobacteriaceae bacterium. RNAcentral describes it as "bacterial SSU rRNA". It matches the Rfam family "Bacterial small subunit ribosomal RNA", at positions 28 to 776 of the family's 1533-position model. Lineage: Bacteria; Pseudomonadati; Pseudomonadota; Gammaproteobacteria; Enterobacterales; Enterobacteriaceae. The record is from RNAcentral.